Molecule: long non-coding RNA, 697 nt
Organism: Belonocnema kinseyi
Lineage: Eukaryota; Metazoa; Arthropoda; Insecta; Hymenoptera; Cynipidae
Exons: 4
Source: RefSeq, a predicted model, not a curated record
UGCUUGACCUCAGAAAAGGCUUUCUGGUAUUUCGUGCUUUUUUAUUCUGCCUUGCUUGCGGGUUUUCUAAUGUUGUUUUGGAAAAUUUUAAGAAUGUUAUUUACAGCAAUAUGUAUGCUAGCCGAGAUUACAAGCAUUGAGGCAUUUUUUAUCUGGAUGAUUCAUGAGGAAGUUACAAUUUAAACCAUAACAGAAUCGAUUCAUUCACAAUUGACGAAGGUUGACGACACCAACUGAAAAAAACUAUUUAUCGACUUCAUUCCAAUCUAUAGAAUGUAAAUAUUGUAAUCCGCAAACAAACAAAAACUACAAAAAAGAAUAUCUCAAAGGUCAACAGAAAAAAUGGAAAUAAUACCUCAUCAAUCAACUGUGCCCGACAGUUACAUCCAUAUUCAGUGUUUCGAGACAUGCAAUUUGAAGCUACGAGUCUACAAGCAUUACUGAAUGAAAAUUAGGAAGAUGAAGAUCGCACGAAAAACAUCACUCACUCGAUAUAUGGAAUCUGGAAGAAAUUAUGGAAUGAGGAUAUCGCCAGAGUUCAAAAUCGCUUCAAUCUACUGAAAUGGACCAAUCAACGGUGCUGCAAAAUUUUGGUCUAACGGAAACAAUGGUUUUAACGCCACCUUGUGUUUCCGUCACCACAGCGUACUACGCAUGCGCCGGAUAUGUCACCGUUUGCGCAUUUAUUGAGAAUGAA